RNAcentral lists this non-coding RNA (106 nucleotides) under Leadbettera azotonutricia. RNAcentral describes it as "Treponema azotonutricium Glycine sequence". It matches the Rfam family "Glycine riboswitch aptamer". From Rfam's summary of the family: This family represents the bacterial glycine riboswitch. RNAcentral also lists the same sequence under 1 other name. The record is from RNAcentral. Lineage: Bacteria; Pseudomonadati; Spirochaetota; Spirochaetia; Treponematales; Breznakiellaceae.
AUGAUGAAUUCGGGAGAGAACAAGGGCUGUCCGGCUUGGGCCGGCGCUUCAGUCGCCGAAGGGGCAAACGCGUAAAACUCUCAGGCAAAAGUACCGAAUUCUGACG